This 845-nucleotide long non-coding RNA is filed under the name Olea europaea subsp. europaea. The record is from RNAcentral. Lineage: Eukaryota; Viridiplantae; Streptophyta; Magnoliopsida; Lamiales; Oleaceae.
GGAAUUGUAUGAUUGAAAAACUGAUAAAAAUUAUGAAUCCCAUAAAAUAUAUGUUAAAAGUGAAUUUAGGGGAAGAUCUAAAACAUUGGAACCAAAUAUAGCAUAGUAGUAUGAAAAUGUGUUAAAAACUGGGAGAGCUGUGUGUUUAUUAUUAUUAUUAUUAUUAUUAUUAUUAUUCUGGACCACCUUCACUUGGGAGCAUUAAAAGUACAAUUCACACUGAAGUUGAUACUUCCAUUCCAAAAUAUAGACAUUUGAACAAUAUCUACACACUAGCAACCAUCUAUCAUACACAUAGCACGUGUAUUAUUAUUGCAUUAUUGGUCCCAUCCCAUCCUAUUGUUCUAAUAUCAAGUUGAUCCUCAACCUUAUAUUAAGUAUACAUUCACUUUUCCAUGAAAUUGUCUUAAUUUUCGUUACAUUGUCAUGUUAUUCUCAAGAAAACAUACUUCAUUCAAAUUCAUAUACACCAAUUUAAAUUAGGAAACGAAACUUAAUUUCAUAAACUCAGACAUACUAGUGCUAAUUCAUAUGACAUACAUCAGUUAUUUAGCCGAUUUGGACUUAGAAAUUGACACUGGAAUUUAGUGAAAAGGUGAAAACGUAUUCAAGGUCAAGGACCAACUUGAUAGUCGAGUAACAAGUUGGGAAACGAAACAAAUUAUUAUGUAUAUGUAUGAUGUAUCUAUAUAGAGAGAGGGUGAGAGGACUAGGAGUUACCUUUGCCAAAAGGAAGGUAACAUUGGCAGGUAGUAUGGAGUAGUGGUCCUAUAUUUCCCCUUUGUUAAAUUGGCCCCUCAACUUGAAAGAGAAAGGUAAAGGGAUAGUAGGCUUAUCCACUUACU